This 460-nucleotide ribosomal RNA is filed under the name uncultured bacterium. RNAcentral describes it as "partial 16S ribosomal RNA". It matches the Rfam family "Bacterial small subunit ribosomal RNA", at positions 338 to 795 of the family's 1533-position model. The record is from RNAcentral.
CCUACGGGAGGCAGCAGUGAGGAAUAUUGGUCAAUGGGCGCGAGCCUGAACCAGCCAAGUAGCGUGAAGGAUGACUGCCCUACGGGUGUUAAACUUCUUUUAUAAAGGAAUACAGUGAGGCACGUGUGCCUUUCUGUAUGUACCUUAUGAAUAAGGAUCGGCUAACUCCGUGCCAGCAGCCGCGGUAAUACGGAGGAUCCGAGCGUUAUCCGGAUUUAUUGGGUUUAAAGGGAGCGUAGAUGGGUUGUUAAGUCAGUUGUGAAAGUUUGCGGCUCAACCGUAGAAUUGCAAUUGAUACUGGCAGUCUUGAGUACAGUUGAGGUAGGCGGAAUUCGUGGUGUAGCGGUGAAAUGCUUAGAUAUCACGAAGAACUCCGAUUGCGAAGGCAGCUUACUAAACUGCCACUGACAUUGAUGCUCGAAAGUGUGGGUAUCAAACAGGAUUAGAUACCCUGGUAGUC